This 445-nucleotide ribosomal RNA is filed under the name uncultured Lachnospiraceae bacterium. Its description in RNAcentral is "partial 16S ribosomal RNA". It matches the Rfam family "Bacterial small subunit ribosomal RNA", at positions 341 to 792 of the family's 1533-position model. Lineage: Bacteria; Bacillati; Bacillota; Clostridia; Lachnospirales; Lachnospiraceae. The record is from RNAcentral.
ACGGAAGGCAGCAGUGGGGGAUAUUGGACAAUGGGGGAAACCCUGAUCCAGCGACGCCGCGUGAGUGAAGAAGUAUUUCGGUAUGUAAAGCUCUAUCAGCAGGGAAGAAAAAGCGAAAGCAUUGACUGUACCUGACUAAGAAGCCCCGGCUAACUACGUGCCAGCAGCCGCGGUAAUACGUAGGGGGCAAGCGUUAUCCGGAUUUACUGGGUGUAAAGGGAGCGUAGGCGGCGGAGCAAGUCAGAUGUGAAAGCCCGGGGCUCAACCUCGGGACUGCAUUUGAAACUGUUCUGCUAGAGUAUCGGAGAGGUGAGUGGAAUUCCUAGUGUAGCGGUGAAAUGCGUAGAUAUUAGGAGGAACACCAGUGGCGAAGGCGGCUCACUGGACGAUAACUGACGCUGAGGCUCGAAAGCGUGGGGAGCAAACAGGAUUAGAUACCCUGGUA